Molecule: ribosomal RNA, 570 nt
Filed under: uncultured bacterium
Lineage: Bacteria
Description: partial 16S ribosomal RNA
Rfam family: Bacterial small subunit ribosomal RNA
Source: RNAcentral
UGGGGAAUUUUGGACAAUGGGCGAAAGCCUGAUCCAGCAAUGCCGCGUGUGUGAAGAAGGCCUUCGGGUUGUAAAGCACUUUUGUCCGGAAAGAAAUCCUUGGCUCUAAUACAGUCGGGGGAUGACGGUACCGGAAGAAUAAGCACCGGCUAACUACGUGCCAGCAGCCGCGGUAAUACGUAGGGUGCAAGCGUUAAUCGGAAUUACUGGGCGUAAAGCGUGCGCAGGCGGUUUGCUAAGACCGAUGUGAAAUCCCCGGGCUCAACCUGGGAACUGCAUUGGUGACUGGCAGGCUAGAGUAUGGCAGAGGGGGGUAGAAUUCCACGUGUAGCAGUGAAAUGCGUAGAGAUGUGGAGGAAUACCGAUGGCGAAGGCAGCCCCCUGGGCCAAUACUGACGCUCAUGCACGAAAGCGUGGGGAGCAAACAGGAUUAGAUACCCUGGUAGUCCACGCCCUAAACGAUGUCAACUAGUUGUUGGGAUUCAUUUCCUAGUAACGUAGCUAACGCGUGAAGUUGACCGCCUGGGGAGUACGGUCGCAAGAUUAAAACUUAAAUGAAUUGACGGGGUC